GAUGAACGCUAGCUACAGGCUUAACACAUGCAAGUCGAGGGGCAGCAUGAACUUAGCUUGCUAAGUUUGAUGGCGACCGGCGCACGGGUGAGUAACACGUAUCCAACCUGCCGAUGACUCGGGGAUAGCCUUUCGAAAGAAAGAUUAAUACCCGAUGGCAUAGUUCUUCCGCAUGGUGGAACUAUUAAAGAAUUUCGGUCAUCGAUGGGGAUGCGUUCCAUUAGGUUGUUGGCGGGGUAACGGCCCACCAAGCCUUCGAUGGAUAGGGGUUCUGAGAGGAAGGUCCCCCACAUUGGAACUGAGACACGGUCCAAACUCCUACGGGAGGCAGCAGUGAGGAAUAUUGGUCAAUGGACGAGAGUCUGAACCAGCCAAGUAGCGUGAAGGAUGACUGCCCUAUGGGUUGUAAA
RNAcentral lists this ribosomal RNA (410 nucleotides) under uncultured bacterium. Its description in RNAcentral is "bacterial SSU rRNA". It matches the Rfam family "Bacterial small subunit ribosomal RNA", at positions 28 to 429 of the family's 1533-position model. The record is from RNAcentral.